AGUAACACGUGGAUAACCUACCUAUAAGACUGGGAUAACUUCGGGAAACCGGAGCUAAUACCGGAUAAUAUUAUGAACCGCAUGGUUCAAAAGUGAAAUACGGUCUUGCUGUCACUUAUAGAUGGAUCCGCGCUGCAUUAGCUAGUUGGUAAGGUAACGGCUUACCAAGGCAACGAUGCAUAGCCGACCUGAGAGGGUGAUCGGCCACACUGGAACUGAGACACGGUCCAG
RNAcentral lists this ribosomal RNA (231 nucleotides) under uncultured Staphylococcus sp. RNAcentral's name for it is "partial 16S ribosomal RNA". It matches the Rfam family "Bacterial small subunit ribosomal RNA", at positions 109 to 334 of the family's 1533-position model. Lineage: Bacteria; Bacillati; Bacillota; Bacilli; Caryophanales; Staphylococcaceae. The record is from RNAcentral.